UGGGGAAUUUUGGACAAUGGGCGAAAGCCUGAUCCAGCAAUGCCGCGUGUGUGAAGAAGGCCUUCGGGUUGUAAAGCACUUUUGUCCGGAAAGAAAUCCUUGGCUCUAAUACAGUCGGGGGAUGACGGUACCGGAAGAAUAAGCACCGGCUAACUACGUGCCAGCAGCCGCGGUAAUACGUAGGGUGCAAGCGUUAAUCGGAAUUACUGGGCGUAAAGCGUGCGCAGGCGGUUUGCUAAGACCGAUGUGAAAUCCCCGGGCUCAACCUGGGAACUGCAUUGGUGACUGGCAGGCUAGAGUAUGGCAGAGGGGGGUAGAAUUCCACGUGUAGCAGUGAAAUGCGUAGAGAUGUGGAGGAAUACCGAUGGCGAAGGCAGCCCCCUGGGCCAAUACUGACGCUCAUGCACGAAAGCGUGGGGAGCAAACAGGAUUAGAUACCCUGGUAGUCCACGCCCUAAACGAUGUCAACUAGUUGUUGGGGAUUCAUUUCCUAGUAACGUAGCUAACGCGUGAAGUUGACCGCCUGGGGAGU
Molecule: ribosomal RNA, 532 nt
Filed under: uncultured bacterium
Lineage: Bacteria
Description: partial 16S ribosomal RNA
Rfam family: Bacterial small subunit ribosomal RNA
Source: RNAcentral